Molecule: ribosomal RNA, 518 nt
Filed under: uncultured fungus
Lineage: Eukaryota; Fungi
Description: SSU rRNA
Rfam family: Eukaryotic small subunit ribosomal RNA
Source: RNAcentral
AUUAAAAACCAAUGCCCUUCGGGGCUCUCUGGUGAUUCAUAAUAACUUCUCGAAUCGCACGGCCUUGCGCCGGCGAUGGUUCAUUCAAAUUUCUGCCCUAUCAACUUUCGACGGCUGGGUCUUGGCCAGCCGUGGUGACAACGGGUAACGGAGGGUUAGGGCUCGACCCCGGAGAAGGAGCCUGAGAAACGGCUACUACAUCCAAGGAAGGCAGCAGGCGCGCAAAUUACCCAAUCCCGACACGGGGAGGUAGUGACAAUAAAUACUGAUACAGGGCUCUUUCGGGUCUUGUAAUUGGAAUGAGUACAAUUUAAAUCCCUUAACGAGGAUCAAUUGGAGGGCAAGUCUGGUGCCAGCAGCCGCGGUAAUUCCAGCUCCAAUAGCGUAUAUUAAAGUUGUUGAGGUUAAAAAGCUCGUAGUUGAACCUUGGGCCUAGCCGGCCGGUCCGCCUCACCGCGUGCACUGGCUCGGCUGGGUCUUUCCUUCUGGAGAACCGCAUGCCCUUCACUGGGUGUGCC